GCGAGUAUGGCCCUCACGGGUCUAAUCCACCAUAAACACCUUUGUGAACCAGUCAGGGGGACUCGGCCGGGAAAGCCCAGGCGAUUAGCGGAAGGGCCCUCCUUUGCAAACCCGUUUAGAAGUCUUGAAAGUACUUUUGUAUAAUCUAGUA
Molecule: unclassified non-coding RNA, 151 nt
Filed under: soil metagenome
Description: partial internal transcribed spacer 1
Source: RNAcentral